CAUUUAAUAGGCUCCAAAACACUCAAAAUAUCUACCGGGUCUAAAUGCCACAGUCAAUGCAGGUGUCCAUCUCUCUUUUUUUUUUUCUUGCUUUGUUUAAUUAAAAAUAAAUAAAUCAAGCAGUCCACUUAGAGGACGUUUCUUCUCUCUGGUGGAUGAGGCAGGGCCUUAAGGGUCUCUUGUAGGGAGAUGAUGACCUGGCAGAGAUGUCCACGUCCUAAUCCCUGGGACUGCAGAUACAGUGCUCUGUGUCAUCACAUCAGCAAAAGGGACUUAUCAGUUAAAGGUCUUGAGAUGGGGAGGUGACCCUCCCAGGAGGAAGGCAGGAGGGUCAGAGAGGGAGAUGGAUGAUAAAGGGCAACUUCAGAACAGGCAGGACCGCAGCCCAGGAAUAGAGCUGGCCUCUAGGUGCUGGAGGAGGGAAGGAAAUGGAAAUGGACCCCCACCCCGACUCCAGAGCAUCUGGGGGAGCACUCUGCACUUGUGACCUGCAGAACAGUGAGAGAAUACAUGGCGUUGCUAUAGGCCCCUCCUUUUGUGAUCGCUUGGCCCAGCAGCCCCAGGAAGCGCAUGGAGGUUUUGACGUAAAGUUUGAGUCUUCCUUGGAGACAGUGGCCCGUCCGAUUGUAGCAACAGCUCUCAAUCACCGAGGGUCAGAACAUGCUGGAAACUGCUCCCGACGCCCAGCAGAUCCCGUCUGAGAAAGAGGUCACCAACAUCAACCUUAUUUUGUAGACCACAAACUAAAGCUCAGAGCACUCUCUUUUAACCAGAGUCAGCUUUGACAUCCAGGGGACACUUGGCAAUGUCUGGAGACUUUUUUGGUUGUUACAACGGGGAUCAGGGUGUUCCUGGCCUCGAAUGGGGAGAGGCCAGUGAUGGAUUUCUAGGGAGCUCCUGGGGGGCAGCCUGCUCUCAGUUUUCUUCUGAGUACCUGCAUUUGGCGGGGUGCACCAGGUUAUUGGUAAAUGAAUGUGCAUUGUGUGUGCUCUUGGGUGUGUUUGUGC
This 1007-nucleotide long non-coding RNA is filed under the name Marmota monax (woodchuck). The record is from RNAcentral. Lineage: Eukaryota; Metazoa; Chordata; Mammalia; Rodentia; Sciuridae.